GUUUGAUUUAGGAUUCUUUUAUCUUAUCAUUUGCAAUGGUGAAAAUGUCACACUGGAUAUGUGCAUCUGAUAAUGUACAUGUAAAACAUGUCAUGGAAAUAAGUUAACAAGAAAGACGUCUCAAACAGCUUUUUAUUACAUUUUUUCAAUAACAGUACAUUUUAGUACAGUAUCUAUCUUGCAUCCAGCUCGCUGUGGAACACCAACAUAAUGAAAUAAAAUACAAAAGGUGAAAAGGGUACAAGGGUGCUGAGCUCUACCUUAUCAAUGGAAAGCGAAAAGGGAAUCCAUCUCAAUUGAAUUGCAAUUCAUUUUACUUGUGGCCACACACAAAUACAUCACAUUAAUUGUACAUUAGAGAAAACAAAAAGUGAAAAAUGUCAACUAUUAAAGAAAGUGCUUCUGUAUACAGUGAAAAAUGGUCUGCCAUUAAGAUGCUAUUUGAGUUAAGACCAAAAAAAAAAUUACAUUACAUUUAUUAUGGACAGAAAUCUGAGAACAUGUUUUUGUUAAACUGGGUGUAAAAAUUUAAGUGAGAUUGUGAGGUCUGUUCAAAAACAAGAUGGGGUUUUCGCAAUCAUUCCGUUAUGAAUUAUAAAAGUUGGCAUUAGAACUGGUAAGCAUGUUUCACAUGGAGCCUGCAGUCAAUAGGAAAUUCAUUCUUCACUUUCACUUACUCUGGUGCAUAGCUUUGCCAGUAUAAGUACAUAUUGUAUGCAGAUUGUAGCCCAAAAUAACUUGAAAAAAGAUAAAAUCGAAGUUAACAGGUUAUUAUCCUUAUGAAACAGACAGAUGCCUUACAUCUGUGCACCUUGGAAAGCAAUUCUACAGCAUGCACACCUAAAUUAAUCCAUGGCAGACAAAAAAAAAAAAAAUAUCAGAUCAUUAUUUUCAGACAUUGAUUUGUACAUUUCAUUCACAGAAUAGCAACUGCAGUUCCAAGCACAGGAAAGGUGUGAGCUGUCACCGAGAAUAAGUGUACACCUAAAAAAUCCAAUCCAUUUAACCAAAUCCUGACUUGCCACAAAUCACAGAACCCACCCUAAAUCCCUAGUCCCCACCCAGAUAAGAAAAGAGUUAAGGGGUUAACUGAAAUGACCUUACUCAUAACUCCUUUUGUAUUGGAAUGAGCAUUCAUCACAAUUUAUAGCAUGUGGUCGGUUAGUUAACACAGUAUUAGUUGAGAAGCAAAAUUUCUUUUUGUGCAAAAAAAAAAAAAAAAAAAAAAAAAAAAGCUGUGAUGAAACAAAAACAGCUAGUAUAUAAAUACAUCAUUGAAAUUUUCUGAAAGCUGCUCAUGUAAUCUGGUCUAGCUUUUGCUUUCAUGCUUUCUGCUUGUUUUAUUUUGUCUAAUCUUUCUUACAUGAUUAAAUUGGAUUAAAAUGACAAGCUUUAAUUUUAAACAUAUCUAAAACCACUGAGAAAACAUGACAUGAACAAAAGCCAUUGAAUAAAACUAACAAACCAUCAGAGAAUAAUUCUUCAACAACCAAAAAAAAAAGUUAAAUAAUUUGUACAAUUAUGCUCCAACAUUUGCUUUCAAGACACAUACAUUUGCAGGGGAUGAUAGUGUUGUUUUCUCAUUUCAAGGUAACAUAAAAAUGGUCCAAGAAGAAUGCACAAGUUUUUUGAUUUGAUACCAC
This is a long non-coding RNA of Esox lucius (northern pike), 1643 nucleotides long. NCBI's taxonomy places the organism in Eukaryota, Metazoa, Chordata, Actinopteri, Esociformes, Esocidae. The record is from Ensembl.